GGCGCAGGCGGUUUUUCAAGUUAGGUGUAAAAUCUCCCCGCUUAACGGGGAGGGAUCAUCUGAUACUGUUGAACUAGAGGGCAGCAGAAGGAGACGGAAUUCCCGGUGUAGUGGUGAAAUACGUAGAUAUCGGGAGGAACACCAGUGGCGAAGGCGGUCUCCUAGGCUGUUUCUAACGCUGAGGCCCGAAAGCGUGGGGAGCGAACAGGAUUAGAUACCUGGUAGUCC
This 228-nucleotide ribosomal RNA is filed under the name uncultured bacterium. RNAcentral describes it as "partial 16S ribosomal RNA". It matches the Rfam family "Bacterial small subunit ribosomal RNA", at positions 568 to 796 of the family's 1533-position model. The record is from RNAcentral.